RNA transcript from Hevea brasiliensis (rubber tree), 1090 nucleotides. It is a transcript of the gene named peptidyl-prolyl cis-trans isomerase FKBP20-2, chloroplastic, with no coding region annotated. The record is from RefSeq and is a predicted model, not a curated record. The transcript has 7 exons. NCBI's taxonomy places the organism in Eukaryota, Viridiplantae, Streptophyta, Magnoliopsida, Malpighiales, Euphorbiaceae.
GAAGCCAAAUUCAAGAUAACCGGAGAGGAGUUGAACACUUCAAACAGGAAAAGGCUGUCCUUUGCUUCACAAAAGCGAUGCUGAUGAGUAUGCUUUCGUCCUCUCCUCCUUGUAAGCAACUUCCGCUGUCUCCCUCUCUACAUCUGUCUGUGAGAUGCUCCAAUAGGGGAUUCUUCGCAUUUUCUGGGCUUACUGAUAGAACCCUUUCAUCUUGUUCCAAUUUAGGAAACCUCUUUGCAUCAAAGAAGCAUAUAGUGCGUUGCUGUCACAAUUUCAGUGAUAGAAGCAUGCAGAAUGGACAUGAAUUACAUUUUGAAGAGAAAUGCAGGCGUAGGAUCAUCCUUUUCUUUUCUGCCUCAUCAGGCUUGUUUCAAACUUUGCCUUCUUUGGGAAAGACAAAGAGUAAGAACCCAUAUGAUGAAAAACGUUUAUUAGAGCAGAACAAACGGAUGCAGAAAGAAAACAAUGCACCUGCAGACUUUCCAAAUUUUAUUAGAGAAGGUUUUGAGGUUAAAGUAGUGGCAUCAGAGAACUAUAUAAAGCGUGACUCUGGGCUUAUAUACCGAGAUUUUGAAGUUGGUAAAGGUGAUUGCCCAAAGGCUGGUCAACAGGUGACUUUCCACUAUAUUGGAUAUAACGAGUCAGGCCGUCGCAUUGACAGUACCUACUUACAGGGCUCUCCUGCCAAAAUCCGCAUGGGCACUAACGCAUUAGUUCCAGAAAUGUAUACAAUGAAAGUAGUAGAUGAAAGGAAAAAAUUUAUGCAGGAUUUGAAGAAGGAAUUCGAGAUAUGAGGCCUGGGGGGAAGAGAAGAAUGAUCAUUCCUCCAGAACUUGGACCGCCGGUAGGACCUUCCACAUUUUUCAGUUCAAAGCAGUUCGAAGUGUUUGAUGUGGAACUUCUCAGCGUCCAGGAUUGCCAAAGGAGGACUAUAGCAUUCUAUUCCGAUGUUGUAUGCAAUUGACAGGCCUUUUUUUUUUCCAAUCAAAAAAAUUCCUUUUGUUAGUCUGAGAUAAUUAUUAUCUGACAAACAGAGAUUUUGCUUGGAAAUUUGAAUGGCAAGUAUAUCAAUUGAAUGCAAAUUAUUUCA